Non-coding RNA from Parcubacteria group bacterium, 87 nucleotides. The record is from Rfam.
GGCGAGGUCGCCUAGCGGCGAUGGCACCUGACUGUAGAUCAGGCACCCACGCGGUAAACACCGGAGGUUCGAAUCCUCCCCUCGCCA